GUGAACCUACGGGGCGCAGCAGUGGGGAAUAUUGCACAAUGGGGGAAACCCUGAUGCAGCGACGCCGCGUGAAUGAAGAAGUGCCCCGGCACGUAAAGCUCUAUCAGCAGGGAAGAAAAUGACGGUACCUGACCAAGAAGCCCCGGCUAACUACGUGCCAGCAGCAGCGGUAAUACGUAGGGGGCAAGCGUUAUCCGGUUUUACUGGGUGUAAAGGGAGCGUAGACGGCAGCGCAAGUC
This 239-nucleotide ribosomal RNA is filed under the name uncultured bacterium. Its description in RNAcentral is "partial 16S ribosomal RNA". It matches the Rfam family "Bacterial small subunit ribosomal RNA", at positions 333 to 589 of the family's 1533-position model. The record is from RNAcentral.